This 316-nucleotide ribosomal RNA is filed under the name uncultured eukaryote. Its description in RNAcentral is "partial large subunit ribosomal RNA". It matches the Rfam family "Eukaryotic large subunit ribosomal RNA", at positions 40 to 350 of the family's 3401-position model. The record is from RNAcentral.
AUAUCAAUAAGCGGAGGAAAAGAAACUAACAAGGAUUCCCCUAGUAACUGCGAGUGAAGCGGGAAAAGCUCAAAUUUGAAAUCUGGCGGUUCUGAACCGUCCGAGUUGUAAUCUAGAGAAGUGUUACCUGUGCUGGACCGUGUAAAAGUCUUCUGGAAUGGAGCGUCGUAGAGGGUGAGAAUCCCGUCUUUGACUCGGAGUUCGCUGUGUUUGAGCAUAUAUUCUAAGAGUCGAAUAGGUUGGGAUUCCUGUUCAAAGAAGGUGGUAAACUUCAUCUAAAGCUAAAUACCGGCCAGAGACCGAUAGCGCACAAGUA